CCUCCGUAGGUGAACCUGCGGAGGGAUCAUUACCGAGUACUAUAACUCAUAACCCUUUGUGAACCUUCAUACCUGUUGCUUCGGCGGCGCGCCUCUCGGGGCGUGCCCGCCGGCAUUAUCAGAAUCUCUGUUCGAACCCGACGAUACUUCUGAGUGUUCUAAGCGAACUGUUAAAACUUUCAACAACGGAUCUCUUGGCUCCAGCAUCGAUGAAGAACGCAGCGAAACGCGAUAUGUAAUGUGAAUUGCAGAAUUCAGUGAAUCAUCGAAUCUUUGAACGCACAUGGCGCCUUCCAGUAUCCUGGGAGGCAUGCCUGUCCGAGCGUCGUUUCAACCCUCGAGCCCCCGUGGCCCGGCGUUGGGGACCUGCCCAGGCAGUCCCCGAAAACCAGUGGCGGACCCGACGGGCCCUUCCUUUGCGUAGUAACAUCUGCCUCGCAUCGGGAGCCCCCGGGCUAUCCGGCCUCUAAACCCCCCUCAAGCCCGCUCCGGCGGCACCAAGGUGACCU
Molecule: ribosomal RNA, 509 nt
Filed under: Verticillium sp. 1029_3
Lineage: Eukaryota; Fungi; Ascomycota; Sordariomycetes; Glomerellales; Plectosphaerellaceae
Description: eukaryotic LSU rRNA
Rfam family: 5.8S ribosomal RNA (bases 175-328)
Source: RNAcentral